RNAcentral lists this ribosomal RNA (264 nucleotides) under uncultured bacterium. Its description in RNAcentral is "partial 16S ribosomal RNA". It matches the Rfam family "Bacterial small subunit ribosomal RNA", at positions 793 to 1055 of the family's 1533-position model. The record is from RNAcentral.
GUCCACGCCCUAAACGAUGCGAACUGGACGUUGGUUGCAACUUGGCAAUCAGUGUCGAAGCUAACGCGUUAAGUUCGCCGCCUGGGGAGUACGGUCGCAAGACUGAAACUCAAAGGAAUUGACGGGGGCCCGCACAAGCGGUGGAGUAUGUGGUUUAAUUCGAUGCAACGCGCAGAACCUUACCUGGCCUUGACAUCCACGGAACUUACCAGAGAUGGUUUGGUGCCUUCGGGAACCGUGAGACAGGUGCUGCAUGGCUGUCGU